UACUCCUACGGGAGGCAGCAGUGGGGAAUAUUGCACAAUGGGGGAAACCCUGAUGCAGCAACGCCGCGUGAGUGAUGACGGUCUUCGGAUUGUAAAGCUCUGUCUUUAGGGACGAUAAUGACGGUACCUAAGGAGGAAGCCACGGCUAACUACGUGCCAGCAGCCGCGGUAAUACGUAGGUGGCAAGCGUUGUCCGGAUUUACUGGGCGUAAAGGGAGCGUAGGUGGAUAUUUAAGUGGGAUGUGAAAUACCCGGGCUUAACCUGGGUGCUGCAUUCCAAACUGGAUAUCUAGAGUGCAGGAGAGGAAAGGAGAAUUCCUAGUGUAGCGGUGAAAUGCGUAGAGAUUAGGAAGAAUACCAGUGGCGAAGGCGCCUUUCUGGACUGUAACUGACACUGAGGCUCGAAAGCGUGGGGAGCAAACAGGAUUAGAUACCCUGGUAGUC
This 444-nucleotide ribosomal RNA is filed under the name uncultured Clostridium sp. Its description in RNAcentral is "bacterial SSU rRNA". It matches the Rfam family "Bacterial small subunit ribosomal RNA", at positions 334 to 795 of the family's 1533-position model. Lineage: Bacteria; Bacillati; Bacillota; Clostridia; Eubacteriales; Clostridiaceae. The record is from RNAcentral.